UCCUCUUCUCUCACCUCCGGCGCGUCUCUUGGCGCCUUACCCGCCCUUCCUUCUCCGGCCGUGACGCUCCCUCGAGCCACGGGGAGCUUUGCGGUCGCCUGGGGUACCCCCCACCCACGUCCCUGCUGCAGGCUCCCAGUGUCCUGCCCCGGCGUCGAGUGCGCCCUGCUGGCUCCCCAACCUCUCCCGCGAUCUGUUCUUGUUAGGAUUUUGUUUCGCGUUGAGCGGAGCCACGCUUGCGGCUUCUGCCUUCUCCGCGCCUGGAAUCGUUCUUUUCUUGCACUGAAUCAGUCAGCCAGCAUGUCCAAAUCCUCCAAGAGAUUUCAGGGAUUGAACUAGGCUUUAGGGACAAGAAGAUGAAAUAUUAUAUACGAAAGCUACAAUUCUGACAAAGUGCUUUCUAGCGUCAGACCCUGGUGGAGCGCUUCCCAUGAGUUAUCUCAUUCAAUUCUCGCAACUCCGAGAGGCGCCUUCUAUUUCACAGAUGACUCAGAAGUCCAGCGCAGAGCUAGCCAAGUGUUAAAGAGAGGAUUCAGGCUGAAGUCUGCGUGCCUCCAGUGCUAUAACCAGACCACCACGCCUCCCUCUGUCUUCCACAUUGCAGCUCGAAGGAGCAGUAGAGAACUGUGGACUAUUCUGCUUGGAAGGUCAGCUCUGAGAGAGCUGAGUCAGAUUGAGGCAGAACUGAAUAAACAUUGGCGGCGAUUGUUAGAGGGACUUUCUUACUACAAACCUCCCAGUCCAAGUUCAGCUGAAAAAGUGAAAGCUAAUAAAGAUGUAGCUUCACCAUUGAAGGAACUGGGUUUAAGAAUCAGCAAGUUUUUGGGUCUUGAUGAAGAACAGAGUGUGCAGUUACUCCAGUGUUACCUGCAAGAGGACUACAGG
This 885-nucleotide small RNA is filed under the name Pongo abelii (Sumatran orangutan). RNAcentral describes it as "processed transcript". Lineage: Eukaryota; Metazoa; Chordata; Mammalia; Primates; Hominidae. The record is from RNAcentral.